ACCUAUAAUAAUAAACUCUUUAUAGUGAUCAUGCAAGUCAGAGAUAAUUAUAUGGUCCAGAAAAAUAUCUUCUUUCAUGUAUACAAAUACAGGCUUGUGUCAUAUUUUGAGGUAUGCAUUUGUUUAUUUCUACUUUUUGUUCUAAGGUCUUCGAGAAGCAGUCCUUUGACUUUCAGUACAUCAUAAACAGAAGAAGGCGGUGGAAAUUUUUUUCAGGAGAAAUUGCACAAGCAGGGACUGGAAUGGAUGCGUCUGCUUGCCAAGAACUUAAGCCACCUGCCUGUACCCCUUGCUGCAAGAAGACUGGAGAAAGUUGGUAUCAGAAUGAGCGAGAGGGCACCGACCUGGAGAACCUGCCAGUUUCCUGCGUCCUUACAAAAAUUCAUCGUGAGACUUCAGGCAAGGUACUUAACCUCUCUCACUAAUCCAUGUUCCUAAUACUUAACGUGAGGAUUUGGGACGCCGUAAAUUCCAAAAAUCUUUAUAGUAAUACAAAUCUGUGUCUGCUCUAGUUAGAGCUCUGGCUUCUAGUGAUGGAACC
RNAcentral lists this long non-coding RNA (541 nucleotides) under Canis lupus familiaris (dog). RNAcentral's name for it is "lncRNA (ENSCAFG00000056999.1, ENSCAFG00845009986.1)". The record is from RNAcentral. Lineage: Eukaryota; Metazoa; Chordata; Mammalia; Carnivora; Canidae.